AUUUUAAAAUCCUUAACCCUAACUACAACAUAUUCUCUCCCUCAUUCUCUCUCUCCCUGUACCAGCCGCAUUUCCUCUCACCAUUUCCCCUUUGUCUCUCCACCUAUCCUUCUUCUUUUACGCACCUAGAGAUGAUUCUCCUCGGCGCAUAAGCUUGGCCUCUUCUCCUUGGUGCAUAAAUGACUUCGACGGCGCCCAACAUAGGUGGUCGGCUGCAUGGAAGGCUUCUUUUGUACAUGCUCGACUACUUGGACGAUGGUGGCUCGAUCUUCAACGACAGAGAUUUGAUAUUGUACGAUCUAAUUGUUUGUGCAAGACAUGGGUUGUGUACGCUUAGGGCAGGGCUGGGCUUGUGAUGUUGUCGUUCAUGGAGGACAAAGUUAAGCUCGGAGGUGGCUGGAAACAGGAUUGGGCUCGCGGAUUGCAUUGUCGUCGUUCAUGGAGGAGGGGGCUGGGCUCGUUGAGGUGAAGGUUGGGCUUGCGAAGGUGGCUGGAAACGGGGUUGCGAAGCUCUAAUUCUUAUGAGGUGAACUUUUGGAGAACGCCUAUAAUUCUUGCUUCAUUGACUUGGUCUUUGAAUAUGCAUUUUUUCGAUGGAUGGGUAUCAUGGGACCUCAUUUGAGCAGACAUAUCGAUGUUACCUUGCAUCAUUUAUUGAAAAGCCACAACUUGAGAGUGGGGAUAAAAUCUUACAUGGAUUCAGAAACAAGAGGGAUAAUGGCAGUAGUAUAUGACACUGGACAGCUAAGGAGAACUUCCGAGAUUAUAUUUAUUGCAGUCCGAUGCUUUUUGUUGAGGGAACAAGCUUCACACACGCUUCUCAUACACCAUUUGGUUUGUCUUUUUAUGAAUAAUGUAAAAUUAGAAUAAUUUUAGAGUGAUAUUAUUUGUAAGAUCCAUCAAUAGAGUAUUAUAUUGAAAUAUUUAGAUUGUUAUUAUGACUUAGAGGUGGUUUGAGUAUUUAAUGUAUUUGUUUUUUUUUUA
This is a long non-coding RNA of Humulus lupulus (European hop), 984 nucleotides long. RefSeq lists it as uncharacterized. NCBI's taxonomy places the organism in Eukaryota, Viridiplantae, Streptophyta, Magnoliopsida, Rosales, Cannabaceae. The transcript is spliced from 5 exons. The record is from RefSeq and is a predicted model, not a curated record.